GCUCCAAUAGCGUAUAUUAAAGUUGUUGCGGUUAAAAAGCUCGUAGUUGGAUUUCUGCUGAGGAUGACCGGUCCGCCUCUGGGCAGGUAUCUGGCUCAGCCUUGGCAUCUUCCUGAAGAACGCAGCUGCACUUGACUGUGUGGUGCGGUAUUUAGGACAUUUACUUUGAGGAAAUUAGAGUGUUUCAAGCAAGCGCACGC
Molecule: ribosomal RNA, 200 nt
Filed under: uncultured eukaryote
Lineage: Eukaryota
Description: partial 18S ribosomal RNA
Rfam family: Eukaryotic small subunit ribosomal RNA
Source: RNAcentral